Molecule: ribosomal RNA, 2925 nt
Filed under: Escherichia coli
Lineage: Bacteria; Pseudomonadati; Pseudomonadota; Gammaproteobacteria; Enterobacterales; Enterobacteriaceae
Description: 23S ribosomal RNA
Rfam family: Bacterial large subunit ribosomal RNA
Source: RNAcentral
GGGUUGUGAGGUUAAGCGACUAAGCGUACACGGUGGAUGCCCUGGCAGUCAGAGGCGAUGAAGGACGUGCUAAUCUGCGAUAAGCGUCGGURAGGUGAUAUGAACCGUUAUAACCGGCGAUUUCCGAAUGGGGAAACCCAGUGUGUUUCGACACACUAUCAUUAACUGAAUCCAUAGGUUAAUGAGGCGAACCGGGGGAACUGAAACAUCUAAGUACCCCGAGGAAAAGAAAUCAACCGAGAUUCCCCCAGUAGCGGCGAGCGAACGGGGAGGAGCCCAGAGCCUGAAUCAGUGUGUGUGUUAGUGGAAGCGUCUGGAAAGGCGCGCGAUACAGGGUGACAGCCCCGUACACAAAAAUGCACAURYUGUGAGCUCGAUGAGUAGGGCGGGACACGUGGUAUCCUGUCUGAAUAUGGGGGGACCAUCCUCCAAGGCUAAAUACUCCUGACUGACCGAUAGUGAACCAGUACCGUGAGGGAAAGGCGAAAAGAACCCCGGCGAGGGGAGUGAAAAAGAACCUGAAACCGUGUACGUACAAGCAGUGGGAGCCUCUUAAUGGGGUGACUGCGUACCUUUUGUAUAAUGGGUCAGCGACUUAUAUUCUGUAGCAAGGUUAACCGAAUAGGGGAGCCGAAGGGAAACCGAGUCUUAACUGGGCGUUAAGUUGCAGGGUAUAGACCCGAAACCCGGUGAUCUAGCCAUGGGCAGGUUGAAGGUUGGGUAACACUAACUGGAGGACCGAACCGACUAAUGUUGAAAAAUUAGCGGAUGACUUGUGGCUGGGGGUGAAAGGCCAAUCAAACCGGGAGAUAGCUGGUUCUCCCCGAAAGCUAUUUAGGUAGCGCCUCGUGAAUUCAUCUCCGGGGGUAGAGCACUGUUUCGGCAAGGGGGUCAUCCCGACUUACCAACCCGAUGCAAACUGCGAAUACCGGAGAAUGUUAUCACGGGAGACACACGGCGGGUGCUAACGUCCGUCGUGAAGAGGGAAACAACCCAGACCGCCAGCUAAGGUCCCAAAGUCAUGGUUAAGUGGGAAACGAUGUGGGAAGGCCCAGACAGCCAGGAUGUUGGCUUAGAAGCAGCCAUCAUUUAAAGAAAGCGUAAUAGCUCACUGGUCGAGUCGGCCUGCGCGGAAGAUGUAACGGGGCUAAACCAUGCACCGAAGCUGCGGCAGCGACACUAUGUGUUGUUGGGUAGGGGAGCGUUCUGUAAGCCUGUGAAGGURGCCUGUGAGGGUUGCUGGAGGUAUCAGAAGUGCGAAUGCUGACAUAAGUAACGAUAAAGCGGGUGAAAAGCCCGCUCGCCGGAAGACCAAGGGUUCCUGUCCAACGUUAAUCGGGGCAGGGUGAGUCGAYCCCUAAGGCGAGGCCGAAAGGCGUAGUCGAUGGGAAACAGGUUAAUAUUCCUGUACUUGGUGUUACUGCGAAGGGGGGACGGAGAAGGCUAUGUUGGCCGGGCGACGGUUGUCCCGGUUUAAGCGUGUAGGCUGGUUUUCCAGGCAAAUCCGGAAAAYCAAGGCUGAGGCGUGAUGACGAGGCACUACGGUGCUGAAGYGACAAAUGCCCUGCUUCYAGGAAAAGCCUCUAAGCAUCAGGUAACAUCAAAUCGUACCCCAAACCGACACAGGUGGUCAGGUAGAGAAUACCAAGGCGCUUGAGAGAACUCGGGUGAAGGAACUAGGCAAAAUGGUGCCGUAACUUCGGGAGAAGGCACGCUGAUAUGUAGGUGAAGCGACUUGCUCGUGGAGCUGAAAUCAGUCGAAGAUACCAGCUGGCUGCAACUGUUUAUUAAAAACACAGCACUGUGCAAACACGAAAGUGGACGUAUACGGUGUGACGCCUGCCCGGUGCCGGAAGGUUAAUUGAUGGGGUUAGCGGUAACGCGAAGCUCUUGAUCGAAGCCCCGGUAAACGGCGGCCGUAACUAUAACGGUCCUAAGGUAGCGAAAUUCCUUGUCGGGUAAGUUCCGACCUGCACGAAUGGCGUAAUGAUGGCCAGGCUGUCUCCACCCGAGACUCAGUGAAAUUGAACUCGCUGUGAAGAUGCAGUGUACCCGCGGCAAGACGGAAAGACCCCGUGAACCUUUACUAUAGCUUGACACUGAACAUUGAGCCUUGAUGUGUAGGAUAGGUGGGAGGCUUUGAAGUGUGGACGCCAGUCUGCAUGGAGCCGACCUUGAAAUACCACCCUUUAAUGUUUGAUGUUCUAACGUUGGCCCSUAAUCSGGGUUGCGGACAGUGUCUGGUGGGUAGUUUGACUGGGGCGGUCUCCUCCUAAAGAGUAACGGAGGAGCACGAAGGUUGGCUAAUCCUGGUCGGACAUCAGGAGGUUAGUGCAAUGGCAUAAGCCAGCUUGACUGCGAGCGUGACGGCGCGAGCAGGUGCGAAAGCAGGUCAUAGUGAUCCGGUGGUUCUGAAUGGAAGGGCCAUCGCUCAACGGAUAAAAGGUACUCCGGGGAUAACAGGCUGAUACCGCCCAAGAGUUCAUAUCGACGGCGGUGUUUGGCACCUCGAUGUCGGCUCAUCACAUCCUGGGGCUGAAGUAGGUCCCAAGGGUAUGGCUGUUCGCCAUUUAAAGUGGUACGCGAGCUGGGUUUAGAACGUCGUGAGACAGUUCGGUCCCUAUCUGCCGUGGGCGCUGGAGAACUGAGGGGGGCUGCUCCUAGUACGAGAGGACCGGAGUGGACGCAUCACUGGUGUUCGGGYUGUCAUGCCAAUGGCACUGCCCGGUAGCUAAAUGCGGAAGAGAUAAGUGCUGAAAGCAUCUAAGCACGAAACUUGCCCCGAGAUGAGUUCUCCCUGACUCCUUGAGAGUCCUGAAGGAACGUUGAAGACGACGACGUUGAUAGGCCGGGUGUGUAAGCGCAGCGAUGCGUUGAGCUAACCGGUACUAAUGAACCGUGAGGCUUAACCUUACAACGCCGAAG